Molecule: long non-coding RNA, 799 nt
Filed under: Brachypodium distachyon (stiff brome)
Lineage: Eukaryota; Viridiplantae; Streptophyta; Magnoliopsida; Poales; Poaceae
Description: long non-coding RNA (BDIS_LNC005712)
Source: RNAcentral
UCCCCAUCUCGUAUCUUCCUCCGUCCAGCUCCUCUACUCUCCCGUACUCCUCCUCUCUUCUCCCUCCCUCCCGAUCUCUCCACCUCCUCUCUCUCCCUCCUCAGAGCACCGCGACCCGACUCCAAGGCGCCCCCGAUGGCGGCCACCGACUGCCACGGCGCCACCCCGCCUCCCCACGUCUCCACUAGGCUGCAUCCGGCACGCCGCCGUGGGAUUCGGCCGCCCUCUGGCCGGCGUCACCGGAUCCACCCGCCCUGGAUCCCCGGCGGGCGCCUCUCCCCUUCUCCGACCCCGACCGCCGCCAGGUACGCCAGAUCCGGCGACCUCGACCCUGGAUGCUGCCGGAUCUGGCGCCCCCGACCCCGCGCACCACCGAAUCCCCCUCUCCCUCUCACGUUAGUCUCUCUCUAUCUCUUCUCUCUCUACCUCUCUCGAUUUCUUCUCUCUCCCUCGAUCAAUUUCACUACCGCAGAUCCUCAUCGGCGCCCAUGAGGACGAGUAGGCCGGGCGGCAGCUCCUGUAGAGCCGGCGUCCCCGACCUCAGCCACCGUCGUGGAGAGCCAGAAGCACAGCCAUCGCCGUCGUGGAGCCGGAACCGCAGCCAUCGCCGUCAUGGAGCAGUUGCAGAUUUUUUUUAAUUGUUUGUCCAUUUUCUCUCCUGUGUACCAGUUCUUGUGUGAUCAGUCUGAUUUUGUAAGAUGCUAUAGCCUGUGAUUUUCUGAUUUGUUCAUCCGCGACCAUAGUUUGCAGGCCACAGGCUUGUUUUUUUUAAAUCACGAGAAUGUUAUCAAUGGCGGGC